Molecule: small RNA, 167 nt
Filed under: Legionellales bacterium
Lineage: Bacteria; Pseudomonadati; Pseudomonadota; Gammaproteobacteria; Legionellales
Description: 6S RNA
Rfam family: 6S / SsrS RNA
About the family: E. coli 6S RNA was the first non coding RNA to be sequenced, but its function was unknown until recently. It consists of 184 nucleotides that fold into an extended hairpin structure with a large single-stranded internal bulge.
Source: RNAcentral
AGUGUUAUCGCUUUUGGCAUAGUACUUCUGAGCCGAUGAUUUCAGAAGGGAUCUUAAGAAUUUGCUAGCGCGGUGUGCAAGCCUAUCUUGAAUAGGAAGCCUUAAGUGUUACGAUUCGAAUCCACCUUAUUAGAGUGGGUUCAGAAAGAAUAUGCCACGAAGCACUC